AUGUCAAGGAAGCUUUUGAUGGGCUCUUCUAGCCAAAGCUCUCAGGAAAAACAAGCCAAAGAGAAGGAAAAGGCCAAGCAUAAUCUUCCUCGCUUAGCGGAAGUACGGUCGUUUGAAUGGCCAUGUGAGGAUUUCUUGAAAGAAGCUGGAAUUCAUGAAGAUUUUUAUUCUUUGAUUGAGACUGCAGGCCUCACAGGUUUCAUGAACGACCGAAUCGAUCAGUAUCUCUUACUCACCAAUACUUUCGUGAAAAACUUUUAUUAUUAUCCUAAGAAGUCACCGCCUGCAGUAUCAUUUCAUUUAUACGAUGAAUUCAGGGAAAUGUCUUUACGUAAUUUUUGCGCGGUGUGUAGGAUACCUUAUGAGGGAGAAUUAGAGGAACCCCAUCGUGAAGAUGUGGGUGGCUUUGUUAAUACUAUAGCUGUAGAGGAGCCAAAGAAGGGCUCUGAGGCAAAAGUCUCUAGCAUACACUAUCCUGCUUCACGCUACUUUGCCAUAUUUGCUAGUAGAUGCUUGAUUGGUCAUGGAAAUAGUGGAAACUUGAGCGUUCCUGAUAUUAUCAUUCUUCAACAUGCUUUGCUUGGAGACAAUACUUUUAGUAUGGGUGCCGUCGUUGCUAAACGGCUAGCCCUGAAUCGUACAAAAGGCCCCAUAUUUGGAGGUAUAUAUGUUGCACGUCUUGCUAGAUAUUUUCAGAUACCCAUUAGGCACCAUGAGAAGGAGGAAAUAAAAUUGCCUCCUCACAUUUUAGAUUACAAGAGCAUGGUAGCACACAAGUUUAUUGUUGACAACGAAGAUAGGACGCUCUUGUAUAAACUUAGAUUUAAUAAGAAACACUUUGAGAUUAUUAUUUUGCCUCCACCUCUGUUGUUUGAUUUGCUUGCAGAAAAUCUUCUUGUCACACCGGAAGCAGUGAACAAUCAUCGAGCCCAAGCUUUUACUCCUGAACCUAAGCCGGAACCUGAACUGGACCCUUAUCGUGCAUCAUCUGUCCAGUGGGAUCCGGAGAUGACCAGCCAGUGGUAUCCUGAUUACACCUCCAAGUACACCAGGGAAAGUAGCAGCGGUCCUUGGUACUAG
RNAcentral lists this ribosomal RNA (1080 nucleotides) under Triticum aestivum (bread wheat). RNAcentral's name for it is "partial small subunit ribosomal RNA". The record is from RNAcentral. Lineage: Eukaryota; Viridiplantae; Streptophyta; Magnoliopsida; Poales; Poaceae.